GGGGGGGGGGGGGGGGGGGGGGGGGGGGGGCGGGGGGGGGGGGGGGGGGGGGCUGGCUCCUGGGUUCCGCGGCGGGCGGGGGGGUGGUGCCUAUGCAUCUGCCUGGUGGUGGGGGAUGACGUCCGGCGCCGGGCGCUCAUACCGCAUGCGUCCUGCGGGAGCACGUGGGUGGUCUUCGGCCCUCACCCUCUCUGCUCCGCCUAGGUCGGCUUCGCUCGUUGGUUGGGCCAAGGCCUACCCAGGCGCCGAUCCGUAACUGGUCUGAGAGGAUGAUCAGUCACACUGGAACUGAGACACGGUCCAGACUCCUACGGGAGGCAGCAGUGGGGAAUAUUGGACAAUGGGCGAAAGCCUGAUCCAGCCAUGCCGCGUGUGUGAAGAAGGUCUUCGGAUUGUAAAGCACUUUAAGUUGGGAGGAAGGGCAGUAAGUUAAUACCUUGCUGUGUUGACGUUACCAACAGAAUAAGCACCGGCUAACUUCGUG
This 484-nucleotide ribosomal RNA is filed under the name uncultured bacterium. Its description in RNAcentral is "partial 16S ribosomal RNA". It matches the Rfam family "Bacterial small subunit ribosomal RNA", at positions 39 to 507 of the family's 1533-position model. The record is from RNAcentral.